RNAcentral lists this ribosomal RNA (438 nucleotides) under uncultured bacterium. Its description in RNAcentral is "bacterial SSU rRNA". It matches the Rfam family "Bacterial small subunit ribosomal RNA", at positions 28 to 507 of the family's 1533-position model. The record is from RNAcentral.
GAUGAACGCUGGCGGUAUGCCUAACACAUGCAAGUCGUACGAGAGUUUUUAACUCUAGUGGCGGACGGGUGAGUAACACGUGAGAAUUUGCCUUUAGAGGGGGAUAACAAUUGGAAACGAAUGCUAAUACCCCAUAUGCUUUUGAGUGAAACGGAUUUAUCCGCCUAGAGAGAAGCUCGCGGCUGAUUAGCUUGUUGGUAAGGUAAGAGCUUACCAAGGCGACGAUCAGUAUCUGGUUUGAGAGGACGAUCAGACACACUGGAACUGAGACACGGUCCAGACUCCUACGGGAGGCAGCAGUGGGGAAUUUUCCGCAAUGGGCGAAAGCCUGACGGAGCAAUACCGCGUGAGGGAAGACUGCCUAUGGGUUGUAAACCUCUUUUUUCAGGGAGGAAUAAAUGACGUGUACCUGAAGAAUAAGCAUCGGCUAACUCCGUG